Non-coding RNA from Paramisgurnus dabryanus, 2123 nucleotides. Lineage: Eukaryota; Metazoa; Chordata; Actinopteri; Cypriniformes; Cobitidae. The record is from RefSeq and is a predicted model, not a curated record.
ACACUGUCAGAAAUAGGGGUACAGUAGGGGUCCAUUUCUGUCCCCCAAGGUACAAUCUACAUAAAAGUACCCCAAAGGGCCCAUUAUUGGACCUCAAAGUACAUGUAUGUACCUUUUUGAGGGUCAAAAAGGUACAUAUUUGUUCCCAAGCAUUAAAAGGUACAUUUUUGUACCAUUUCUUUUAAAGGAUAAGGUACAAUGCUAAAAGAUACAGCCUCUUGCCAUUUUUUUAUUUGUUGUUCAAGACAACUGCUGUAAAUCUGGUCAAUAAAGUAAGUAACCAUUGUGUCAAUUUUGUUUCCUUUAGUUGGGCACAUGGGUCUUGAAGUAGUGUUAGUUUUCUUCUGUUCAUUGACAAUGUGUUUAAUUUAAAAUUUUAUUUGAAAUUUUAAUGAAAAAAAGUUAAUUUCAAUUCAUAAAAACUGUGCUGUGAACUCAAAAACUGCAAUUGAUUAACCAUUACUUACAAACUAAAUAAAUACUGAAUAACUAAAUCCCUCACACACAAUGAAAAAAAACGCGCUUUUAUUUUGACACGCGCCCAUCCCCCCACAUCUCACGGUCUGACUGGAGUCGAGUUUCACAGAGCAACGCAACAGGAGGAUGACACAACAGUUACAAGAGCAUUAACAGUAAGGACUAACAUUAACUGACUGUCUGUCCUCAACCAAAGUCAUUCAAGACCUGUAAAAGUUUAGCACAAACGUUUCCCGCGCAAGUUUGAAUCUCUCUCAGUCAGGGGAGAUUGACUGACUGACUGACUGACUGUCUACACGCCACCAAACAGUAAUUUAUACAGAAACCUUUUAAAGUAAGGACUAACAUUAACUGACUGUCUGUCUGUCUGUCUGUCUGUCUGUCUGUUCUCAAGCAAAGUCAUUCAAGACCUGUUAAAGUUUAGCACAAACGUUUCCCGCGCAAGUUUGAAUCUCUCUCAGUCAGGGGAGAUUGACUGACUGACUGACUGUCUACACGCCACCAAACAGUAAUUUAUACAGAAACCUUUUAAAGUAAGGACUAAGGUUAACUGACUGUCUGUCUGUCUGUCUGUCUGUCGGUUCUCAACCAAAGUCAUUAAAGACCUGUUAAAGUAAGGACUAACGUUAACUGACUGUCUGUCUGUCUGCUCUCAACCAAACAGUCAUUCAAGACCUUUCAAAGUUUAGCACAAAAGUUUCCAGCACAAGUUUGGAUCUUUACCAUUGAGGGUGGCUGACUGUUCUCGACCAACCAUCAUUCACACGCAAAAACUUUAAAGAUAAGUAUGAACGUGCCCAGAGCAGUUUUCGAUCUUUACCAUUAAGGAGGCUGACUGACUAUCCUCUACCACCCGUCAUUAACACAACAAAAACUAAAGAAAUGUUACUCCAUAUGGACCUAUUCAUUUACUCAUUAUGCUGUGAGUACACCACAGUUUUAUCAGUGAAAAAAUUUAUAUUUGUGUGUUUUCUCACUUCUUGGCAAGGACAGAUGUGGCCCUGUUAAAAAUGUUUAAAUGUUGUUUGGUUAAGGAACAGCACACUGAUUUUGUUUUAAAAUAUUCCUGUUUGGACAGUCUGUUAAAGUCAAAGGAAUACUUGAUAUAUUUCUAAGUAAAGUGUAAAUGAAAAAAUUAGUUUUUAAUGUUGUGACUGAACACAAUGUUGUGAAUGAUUUGGACUGAACAGCACACUUCUGUUUUAUAUCUGAACCUUUUGUAAAAUAAAUGAUUGUUCAUUAAACUCACUGUGUAUUUUAUCUUUUCUGUUAUCAUUUUUUUAUACUAAUGUUUAAAAUUUACCUUUACUCUAAACAAUUGGCUAAACCAACACAAAUACACUGAGUCAUAUGCACUUAUAAUUUAAAGUUUACAAAAUUUAGAUUGAGAUAUAUGUAUAAGUUUUAAAACCAUGAGUGUACCCUGUCAAAGCCAUUUUUGUACCCUUUUUGAAGGGUCCAUAUUUGUACUGUUAAAUAAAGGUACAAAAUUGUCACUAGAGGUACAAAACUGGUCCCUUAAGGUACAAAUCACAAGGGUACAAUUUUGUACCCUCUGCCAAGGGUACAAAAACUGUACCCUUGAGGGUACAGCCCCAGUGACAAGCCAUUGUACCCCUAAAGGUACAAUUAUGUACUUUCUUUUC